This 502-nucleotide ribosomal RNA is filed under the name uncultured bacterium. RNAcentral describes it as "partial 16S ribosomal RNA". It matches the Rfam family "Bacterial small subunit ribosomal RNA", at positions 30 to 523 of the family's 1533-position model. The record is from RNAcentral.
AUUGAACGCUGGCGGAAUGCUUUACACAUGCAAGUCGAACGGCAGCAUAGGUGCUUGCACCUGAUGGCGAGUGGCGAACGGGUGAGUAAUACAUCGGAACGUGCCCAGUCGUGGGGGAUAACGUAGCGAAAGUUACGCUAAUACCGCAUACGAUCUAAGGAUGAAAGCGGGGGAACGUAAGGCCUCGCGCGAUUGGAGCGGCCGAUGUCAGAUUAGGUAGUUGGUGAGGUAAAGGCGCACCAAGCCGACGAUCUGUAGCUGGUCUGAGAGGACGACCAGCCGCACUGGGACUGAGACACGGCCCAGACUCCUACGGGAGGCAGCAGUGGGGAAUUUUGGACAAUGGACGCAAGUCUGAUCCAGCCAUUCCGCGUGCAGGACGAAGGCCUUCGGGUUGUAAACUGCUUUUGUACGGAACGAAAAAGCUCUUACUAAUACUAGGAGUCCAUGACGGUACCGUAAGAAUAAGCACCGGCUAACUACGUGCCAGCCGCCGCAGUAA